This 352-nucleotide long non-coding RNA is filed under the name Corvus moneduloides (New Caledonian crow). RNAcentral describes it as "lncRNA (ENSCMUG00000017639.1)". The record is from RNAcentral. Lineage: Eukaryota; Metazoa; Chordata; Aves; Passeriformes; Corvidae.
CCAGGAUGUACCUGGCUGGAGGAGGUCCCUGACUGCAUAGGGCUCCCUGUCCUAGAGGACUAAAGGAAGGACCUCCUGACAGUAUGAUUGGCUGCCUUAGUAGGGUAAUGCAGAUGAUCUGGAAGAAUAUGGGGAACUAGAGGCUCUAAGAAGAUUGCAGUUUUCAUGUGAGCAGGUGGUGUUCCCUGAGACCCCUUCAUCUUCAGUUCAUGCUCUAAGGCCGGCUGACAUUAAAGCAGUCACUUCAAUAGGAAGUUUGCAAAGAGUAAGUACAGGCAGGAAAUGUGCUGAGCGUGACCCAUUUCCUCCGUUGUGAUGAUGAAGUCAGCUGAUGAUGUAGUUUGGGGUCUCA